RNAcentral lists this transfer RNA (85 nucleotides) under Candidatus Orphnella occulta. RNAcentral describes it as "tRNA-Tyr". It matches the Rfam family "tRNA". From Rfam's summary of the family: Transfer RNA (tRNA) molecules are approximately 80 nucleotides in length. Their secondary structure includes four short double-helical elements and three loops (D, anti-codon, and T loops). Lineage: Bacteria; Pseudomonadati; Candidatus Omnitrophota. The record is from RNAcentral.
GGGUAGGUGGCCGAGUGGUCAAUGGCAGCAGACUGUAAAUCUGCCGGCUUCGCCUUCGAAGGUUCAAAUCCUUCCCUGCCCACCA